This is a non-coding RNA of 217 nucleotides. It matches the Rfam family "T-box leader". Rfam says of the family: Uncharged tRNA acts as the effector for transcription antitermination of genes in the T-box leader family. T-boxes are found upstream of many aminoacyl-tRNA synthetase genes and some amino acid biosynthetic genes usually in Gram-positive bacteria.
UAAAAAGCGAUGAGGAGAAGAGUAUUAUAACAUAAGCCUUCAGAGAAGAGCUACCAUAGGCUGCGAGUAGCUCGAGGAUAUGUUAUAAGAAGUGCAUCUCCGAGCUGUAUCCCUGAAAUUUUAGUAGGGGGUUACCGGCCUUUGCCGUUAUCUAAAAUGAGUGGAGUUUAAAACUCAAGCAGAGUGGAACCACGGGAGUCCCCCCCUCGUCUCUGAG